This 164-nucleotide ribosomal RNA is filed under the name uncultured bacterium. RNAcentral describes it as "partial 16S rRNA". It matches the Rfam family "Bacterial small subunit ribosomal RNA", at positions 355 to 511 of the family's 1533-position model. The record is from RNAcentral.
UAGGGAAUCUUCGGCAAUGGACGAAAGUCUGACCGAGCAACGCCGCGUGAGUGAAGAAGGUUUUCGGAUCGUAAAACUCUGUUGUUAGAGAAGAACAAGGGUGAGAGUAACUGUUCACCCCUUGACGGUAUCUAACCAGAAAGCCACGGCUAAAUACGUGUCAG